Molecule: non-coding RNA, 13698 nt
Organism: Oryctolagus cuniculus (rabbit)
Lineage: Eukaryota; Metazoa; Chordata; Mammalia; Lagomorpha; Leporidae
Source: RefSeq, a predicted model, not a curated record
UUUCUUUCAAAUAAAAAAACAAAGUGUGCUUUUAAAUUUCCAAACAUUUAAAAAUAUUUUGGUUAUUUAUUUCUAACUUUAUGACCUUGUACUCAGAAAACAUGAUGUAUAUAUAAUUCUUUAGUAUUUUUUAAGAUUUCUUACAUGAUCUGGUCCAUAGUCAAUUUUUGUAAGUAUUUUCUAGGUUAUCUUUUUUAUUUUUUAAGGAAUACAAAUUUCAAAAGUACAACUUUAGGAGUAUAGUUAUUCUUCCCAUCAUACCCACCCUCUCACCCACACUCCCACCCCUUUUCCUCCUCCCUCUCCCCUUCCCAAUCCCAUUCUCCAUUAAGAUUUAUUUUCAAUUAAUUUUGUCCACAGAAGACCAACUCUAUACUAAGUAAAGAUUUCAACAUUUUGCGCACACUUGAACACACUCAAAAAAACUGUUUGGGAACUAGUUUUACAGUUAACUCUCAUAAUACAACUCACUGAGGACAGAGGUCCUACAUAGGGAGUUAGUUGCUGCAAAGUGACUCCUGUUUUUAAUUUAACAAUUAACACUUAUGUAUGGCAUCAGUGACCACCCGAGGCUCUUGACAUGAGCUGCCUAGGUAGCCUUUUGAAUCCAUAAACUCUGUCAGUAUUUAGACAAGGCCAUAAGCAAAGUAGAAGUUCUCUCCUCCCUUUGGAGAAAAGUACAUCCUUCUUUGAUGGCCACUUCUUUCCACUGGGGUCUUACCCACCAAGGUCCUUCAUGCAGAACAUUUUUUGCCAGUGUCUUAGCUUUCUAUGCCUGAAAUGCUCUCUCAGCCUUUUCAGCCAGAAAAGGAUGCCUUAAAGGCUGAUUCUGAGGUCAGAAUGUUACAUAAAGCAAUUGUCAUUCUAUGAGUCUGCUGUGUGGCCUGGUUCCCAUGUUGGAACAUUCUCUCCUUUAAUUCUAUCUAUUAUUAUUACCAGACAGUUGAUCCUAUUUAUAUGAUCACUUUAACACUUAAUCCUAUCUGUAUGUUCACUUUGAUACUUAAUAUGGGGCUGGUGCUGUGGCAUAGCAGGUAUAGCCGCUGCCUGCAGUGCCGGCAUCCCAUAUGGGCACCAGUUUGAGACCCGGCUGCUCCAGUUCUGAUCCAGUUCUCUGCUAUGGCCUGGGAAAGCAGUAGAAGAUGGCCCAAGUCCUUGGACCCCUGCACCCACAUGGGAGAUCUGGAAGAAGCUCCUGGCUCCUGGCUUCAGAUCAGUGCAGCUCCAGACAUGGCAGUCAAUUGGACAGUGAAACAGCGGAUGGAAGUCCUUUCUCUCUCCCUCUUUUCUCUGCCUCUCCUUCUCUCAUUGUGUAACUCUGACUUUCAAGUAAAAUAAACAAAUCUUUAAAAAAAAAUACUUAAUAUGAUCACUUUAACACUUAAGAUGGCAUUUUUACCACACAGCUUAAUGGGAUUUGGGGUCCCAUGACAAGUUUUUAAAUUGUACCCUUAGGAAUAAGUCCACAGAGGCUGGCGCCGCGGCUCACUAGGCUAAUCCUCUGCCUGCGGCGCCAGCAUGCCGGGUUCUAGUCCCGGUCCGGGCGCCAGAUUCUGUCCUGGUUGCUCCUCUUCCAAUCCAGCUCUCUGCUGUGGCCUGGGAGAGCAGUGGAGGAUGGCCCAAGUGCUUAGGCCCUGCACCCGCAUGGGAGACCAGGAUAAGCACCUGGCUCCUGGCUUCGGAUCAGUGCGGUGUGCCGGCCGCAGCGGCCACUGGGGGAUGAACCAAUGGCAAAAGGAAGACCUUUCUCUCUGUCUCUCUCUCUCACUGUCCACUCUACCUGUCAAAAACAAACAAACAAAAAACAAAAAAGAAAUAAGUCCAUAGGAAAGUAUACAGAACUAUACAGCUUUACAGUUACAAACUUCCUCCUCCCUCUCUUAUUCUCUUAUUUUUUACUGAGAUCCAUCCUCAAUUGACUUUAUACACAUAUGAUUAAUUCUAUGUUAAGUAAAGAGUUCAACAAAUAGUAUGAAGAAAAAAAAACUGAAAAAACAAAACAAAACAAAACAAAACAAAAAAGAAACUGUUCCUCAACAGUCAAGACAAGGGCAGUUCAAAUCAUCGCUUCUUGAAGUGUCAAUUUCACUUCUACAGAUUUUGUUUUAGGGACUCUAUUAGUUCUCAGAUAUCAGGGAGAACAUAUGGUAUUUGUCCCUUCGGGACUGGCUUAUUUCACUAAGGAUGAUGAUUUCCAGAUUCAUCUAUUUUGUUGCAAAUGACUGGAUUUCGUUUUUUUAAACAGCUGUGUAGUAUUCCAUAGUAUGCAUGUACCAUAAUUUCUUUAUCCAGUCUUUGGGGUGAUGGGCAUUUAGGUUGAUUCCAUGCCUUAGCUAUUGUGAAUUGAGCUGCAAUAAACAUGGGGGUGCAGAUAUCUCUUUUAUUUAUUGAUUUAAUUUCCCUUGGGCAAAUUCCCAGGAGUGGGAUGGCUGGGUCAUAUGGUAGGUCUAUAUUCAGCUUUCUGAGGUAACUCCAUACUGUCUUCCAUAGUGGCUUUACCAGUUUACAUUCCCACCAACAGUGGAUUAGGGUACCUUUUCUCCCCACAUCCUUGGCAGCAUUUGUUGUUUGUUGAUUUAUGUAUGAAAGCCAUUCCAACUGGGGUGAGGUGCAACCUCAUUGUGGUUUUGGCUUGCAUUUCCCUUUAUUAGUUGCAUAGUUUUCAAACAAAAUGAAAAUAAAUAAAUAAAUAUUGAAAGGUAUUUUUGUUUUUAUGAGAAAUAUGCCAUAAAUCUUAUUGUUAUUCUUUUGUCUUUGGUUGCUUUUGAAAUUUUUCUCUUUCUGGUAUUCUGUAGUUUUACCAUCAUUUGUAUGUGGAGUCUCCACCCGCACCGGGCUGCCUGUUCUUUCAGUGAGGGGUAUUAUAUCUUUAAGUAUAGAAAAGUUUGAUAUAUUAUCUUCUUUGAACAUUGCCUCUCCCUCAAUUUUUUAUUUCAAGAACUCUUUCUAAAGGUAAGCAAUACCUUCUGAUCAAGUCCUCUGUAUCUCUUAACUUUACUCACACAUUUCCCUUUCUCUUUAAUCCCUUUGCACUACAUUUGGUGUGAUUCAAAUCUAUUUUCCAGUUAGGAAAUCCUCUCUUUAGCUGUGUUUAACCUGCUGUUUAACUUGUUAUUUAAGCUUUUCAUUUCAGUGACACUAUUUUUUAUGUCUAAAAGUUUUAUUUGUAUUUUUUUAAAUCUGCCUAGGUUUUCUUUAUCAUGGCUUCUUUUUGGUUAUAUUUAUUUAUUUGUUUAAUUUGUAUUUCAUCACACAGUCUUAUAACUGUGUGUGUGUGUGAGUAUACACAUUUUGAUGCAAUUUUACCACAUGCAUACCUUUGUGUAUCUAUCACCACAAUCAAGACAUACAACUGUUGCAUUAUCUCAGGACUCCCUCAUGCUCUCUCUUUAGAGCCACUUUCUUCACAUUCCCACCUUAUCUUCAACCCCUGGUAACAAGUAAUCUGUUCUCUAUUUUUGUAAUUUUGUUAUUUUUUUCAAAUAUUUAUUUAUUUAUGAGCCAUAGCAAGAGAGAGAGAGGGAGAGAGAGAUCUUCUAUCUGGUGGUUCAUUCCCCAAAUGGUCACAACAGCCAGGUGUGGGCCAGGGUGAAGCCUGGAACCAGGAAAUCCAUCCUGGUCUCCCACAUGGGUGGCAAGGGCCCAAGUAUUCUGGUGAUAUUAUACUGCCUUCCUAGGGGCUUAGCAGGGAACUGGAUCAGAAAAAGAGCAGCCAGGACUCAAAUUGGCACUGUGAUAUGGGAUGCCAGUAUCACAAAUGGUGACUUAACCCACUGUGCCACAAUACCAGCCCCUAUAAUUUUUUUUAUUACUCUUUAUUAUCAUUUUAAGAAUGUUAUGUAAGAGGUGUAAUAUGAAACCUUCUGAUAUUGGCUGUCUUCACUCAGCACAAUUCCUUUGAGUUUUGUCCAAGUUGUGUGUAUCCUUAGCUCAGUCUUUUUAAUUACUGAGUAAUUCAGUAAUUCACUGAGUAGUUCAUGGUGUGCAUAUAUCAUAGUUGUUUAAUCAUUUACCAAUUGAAGGAUAUGUGACUUAUUUCCAAUUUAGAGCUAUUAUGAAUACUUGUGCACUGGUUUUAUGUGAACAUAAAUUUUCAUAUCUCUGGGAUAAAUGUCCAAGAAUCCAAUUGCUGGAUAAUGUUGUAGUUGCAUGUUGAAUUUCAAAAGAAAUAGCCAAAAUGUAUUCCAGAGUGGUUAUAUCAUUUAAUAUUCCCAGAAAUGUUUGAAUCACCCAGAGUCCCUGCAUCCUCAUUGUCCUUUGGUAUUAUCAUUGUUUUUCAUUUAACUCCUCUAACAGGAAUGCAGUCGUAUCUCACUGUUGGUAUGCCUUGCGUUUCUCUAGUGGCCGACAAUACUUAACGUCUUUUCAUGUGUUCAUCAUGAAGUGUCUGUUCAGGUCUUUCGAGCAUGUUCUAGUUGGGUUUUUUAACUGUUGAGUUUGGAGAGUUCUUGGAUAUUCCAGAUGCAAGUCCUUUGCUGCAUAUGUGAUUUGAAGGUAUUUCCUCCCAGUCUUUGGCCUCUCUUUUAAUCAUUUCUCUGAGUUGCAGAAGAGAAGUGUUAAUUUUUUAUGAAGUCCAAUUUAUCAAUUUUUUUCCUUUUAUAAAUUAUGCAUUUGCUAUUAACUCCUCAAUCAUUUUGACCUCAGUAUCUAGUAGUCUCUUUCUGAUUUGCUGUUAUAGAUAGUUCUUAGGUUACACAUUCUUUUCCUUGCUAUGGAUAUGAGCUCUCCCUCAUGCUGGUUCAUUUCUUCAUCUGUUUUGCAUGUAUGAGGUUUUAGGGUGGUAGGGAGAGGGAAUUCUUUUUCAUCUUUGCACCCUGAACUGUGGGAAUCAUUUUGAUGUUUUAUAUUUUUCUUUGCCAGAGCUAGAGAAAUUUUAUGGAUCCUAGACCAGUUUAGGGAUUUCUUUUUUCAAAUAAAUUAUUUAUUUAUUUAUUUGAAAGGCAGUUACACAGAAAGCUCUUCUGUCUGCUGAUUCAUUCCCCCAGAUGGCCACAACAGCCAGAGCUGGGAUGACCUGAAGCCAGAAACUUCUUCCAGGUCUCUCACAUGGGUGCAGGGACCCAAGCACUUGGGCCAUCCUCUGCUAAGCACAUUAGCAGGGAGCUGCAUAGGAAGUGGAGCAGCCAGAACUCAAACUGGUGCCCAGAUGGGAUGCCUGUGCCACAGGCAGUAGCUUUACUCACUAUGCCACAGCACUGGCCCCGGUUUGGGGAUUUCUAUACCUUAUGGGCACUUUUUUUUUGUUAUUUGACAGGUAGAGUUACAGACAGUGAGAGGGAGAGACAGAGAGAAAGGUCUUCCAUCUGCUGGUUCACUCCCCAAACGGCCACAACGGCCGGAGCUGCACUGAUCCGAAGCCAGAAACCAGGUGCUUCCUCCUGGUCUCCCACGCAGGUGCAGGAGCCUAAGCACUUGGGCCAUCCUCCACUGCCUUCUGGGGCCACAGCAGAGAGCUGGACUGGAAGAGGAACAGCCCAGACUAGAACCCGGUGCCCAUAUGGGAUUAACCAAGUGAGCCAUGGUGCUGGCCCCUUAUAGGCACUUAAAAUAUGGGUCCUGUUUCAGGCUGGCAGACUCUGUCAGGCCCGGGAAACCACUUGGUCUGGCCUUGCCACAGCAACCACAGGCAGGACUCAAAAUUCAAUAGAUCUGUAGCAGCCUGAUUUUAAGUUAAUACUUUUGUAUAUCCCUUGAAUGAUGUUAUAAAUAUAAAAAUGGCCCUUGGCAGAAAAAAGAUUUCCUAACCCCUGAACUAGGGUUGUUUUUUUUCCCAUUGGAGAUUUCAUCCAUCUCACAGAGAUCACAUAGAGAACUAAUUAGCAACUUCCGUGGGCCACCGGGAUAACUUGUUUUACUUCCUUUGUCAUGGACUUACACAGAAGUUAAUCAGCAAUUAAGCAGGCGUCCCAGUUCCAGCUCUUUGCCUUUCUCAAGUUCACAGUCUGUGCUUUUCUCCCUGUGUGGAUGUUCAGUCCUCGGCCUCCUGUCUUAAGUCCUCCUACCCAGAUCCGAUAUCCCACUUUCCAAGGUUCCUGUAUGAGAACUGGAAUUGAUUGCUCUGAUUUGAUUUACUUUUUGGUUUUGGCAUCUGUGAUUUCUCUUUUCUUCCUUCCUUUCUUCCUCCGUCCAUCCUUUCCUUCCUUCCUUUUAACCUUGACUGAUUACAUUUUUGUAUAAUUUUUAUAUAACCUUUUAAUGUAUUUGUAAUAGAGUUGACUAAGAUUAGCAUAGCAUCUUUUUUGUUGUUGUUGUUUGUUUGUUUUUUUGACAGGCAGAGUGGACAGUGAGAGAGAGAGACAGAGAGAAAGGUCUUCCUUUUGCCAUUGGUUCACCCUCCAAUGGCCGCGGCCGGUGCGCUGCGACUGGCACAUCGCGCUGAUCCGAAGCCAGGAGCCAGGUGCUUAUCCUGGUCUCCCAUGGGGUGCAGGGCCCAAGGACUUGGGCCAUCCUCCACUGCCUUCCCGGGCCACAUCAGAGAGCUGGCCUGGAAGAGGGGCAACCGGGACAGAAUCCGGCGCCCCGACCCGGACUAGAACCCGGUGUGCCGGCGCCACUAGGUGGAGGAUUAGCCUAUUGAGCCGCGGCGCCGGCCGUAGCAUAACAUCUUAUGUUGUCAGAACUGAACCACUUCAUGUAAGUAUUUUUUUUUUUUUAGAAAAAGAAAAGAUUUAUUUGAAAGUCAGAGUUACAAAGAAAGAGGGAGAGACACAGACAGAGAGAUGUUCCACCCACUGGUUCACUCCUCAGAUGGCCACAACAGCUAGGCUGAAGCCAGAAGCCGGGACCUUCUUCCAGGUCUCCCACAUAGGUGCAGGGGCCCGAACACUGUGCCAUCUUCUACGACUUUCCCCAGGCCAUUAGAAGGGAUCUGGAUUGGAAGUGGAGCAGCCAGGACAUGAACCAGCACCUAUAUGGGAUAUCGGCACUGCAGGGGGCACCUUUAUUUGCUAUGCCACAAUGCUGGGCCCUCAAGUAAGUAUUUUAAUCUUGAAGAUUAUACAGAAUUUGAGAUGAAGAGAAUGAAAACUUAAUGGAAAAAAUAAGAAGAGAUAAGAUAAGCAGUGAUGUUAAAACAACAAAAAUUUGACAGGGAAGCCCCAAAUAUUUCUCCACUAUUAAAAUACAGGUUUGGAUGGAAAGCACCACAUCUCCUCUGAUGGCUUCUUUCUCUGAUCCCAUUUCUGCCACUCUGCCCUUUUGUUGUCUCCUCUCCUUUGAUUCCCCAGGACAUGCUGAACACACAGGGUCCUGGCCUUGUUCCGAGCUUUGUUUUCUGUGUUUACUCCUCCUCAUACCCUCUCAUCCCCAAUCCUGAGCUAUAAUUUGAGAUCUCUUGUUCUAAACAUGAUGACUGGUUUCUGAUUACGCAGCCACUUCCCAUGCCUGUCAUGGGCCAGGCCGCCAGGCAGACCGGGCUUAUCUCAACAAUUUGAGUGCUAAUUUUACCCUUAAUCCCCAAAUUGCUUGCUAUUCUUAGGCUCCAAAAUCUUCAAGCCAAAAAAGUACAAAGCUAGUCUCAUUGUGGGAGAAUUUUGAUAAAUGGGGGGAAAAAAGGGUUCCACACAAGAGGCAAUGUGCAAGAAUUGCCACAGCUAGAGCAGAAGUUGAAAGGCCUUGUAUUGUAAGGUAAAAUCUUUUCUUCAUUCCCCUAAUUAAUUUUUUUAAGUCCGCAUACAUUUCUACUCCUCUGUAUUGUGUAAACAAUGAUGCUGCUUAGCACAGUGAUGCUGGGUGCGCUCGCUUGAUUGUGCAAUCCAAAAACAGUGGCGCCACAGAAGGUAGAAGAGUGGUUACCAAGGGCCAAUGGGGAGGGAAUGGGAAGAUGUUGUCCAAAGGAUACAAACUCUCAGUUAAAACACAAACAGGCCGGCGCCGCGGCUCACUAGGCUAAUCCUCCGCCUUGCGUCGCCGGCACACCGGGUUCUAGUCCCGGUCGGGGCGCCGGAUUCUAUCCCGGUUGCCCCUCUUCCAGGCCAGCUCUCUGCUGUGGCCAGGGAGUGCAGUGGAGGAUGGCCCAAGUGCUUGGGCCCUGCACCCCAUGGGAGACCAGGAGAAGCACCUGGCUCCUGGCCUUGGAUCAGUGCAGUGCGCCGGCCGCAGCGCGCUGGCCGCGGCAGCCAUUGGAGGGUGAACUAAUGGCAGAGGAAGACCUUUCUCUCUGUCUCUCUCUCACUGUCCACUCUGCCUGUCAAAAAAAACAAAAACAAAAACAAAAAAAACAAAAAAACAAACAAAAAACAAACAAAAACAAAAACAAAAAACCCACACAAAUUGGACUAGCUCUGUGGCUUAGCAGGUUAAGGCUGCCACCUGCACUGCUGGCUUCCCAUAUGGGCAUCCCAUAUGGUUUGAGUCCCGGCUGCUCCACUUCCACUGGGAAAGCAGUAGAAGAUGGCCCAGGUCCUUAGAACCCUGCACUCAUGUGGGAGACCCAGGGGAAGCUCCUGGCUCCUGGCUUCAGAUCGGUACAGCUCUGACCUCUCUCUCUCUCUCUGUCUCUACUUCUCUCUGAACUGUCUUUCAAAGAAAUAAAAUAAAUCUAAAUAAAUAAAUAAACAAAUCCUUAGUAUCUAAUGUAGAAGAUGGAUAGCAGUAUUCAUUGAUUUGACUGUGGUAAUCAUUACACAAUGUCCAUGUAUAUAAAACCAUCCUAUUACACACCUUGAAUAUAAAUGAUCUUUGUCAACAAAAUUUUUUUAAAAAAUUCUAAUCAUUUAUUCAAAAGGCAGAACAGCAGAGAGAGAGAGAGAGAGAGAGAGGUAGUUCCAUCUGCUAGUUCACUUCCCAAAUGCCCACAAUAGCCAGGGGUGGGCCAGCUGAAGCCAGGAGUCUGAAACUCCAUCCUGGUCUCCUAUAUGGGUGGCAGAGGCCCAAGUAAUUGGGCCAUCAUCUACUACUUUCCCAGGAGCAUUAGCAGGGACCUGGAUUGGAAGUGGAGAAGCUGGCACACCAACUAGCACUCCAGUAUGGGGUGUGGGUGAUGCAAGCAGUGACUUAGGCCACUGCACCACAAUGCUGGCCAAUGCAAUAUAUCUAAAAGUUAAAAUAAAAUGACUAAUGGUAAAAAAGAAAACAAAUAACAAUAAAAACCAAGAUUCUUCUUACUGAAGUUCUUUGAAGCAUUCCUACUGCAUUUAAAAUAAAAUUUAAAUUUUUUCUAGUGGCCUACAAUGACUUACACAGUUGGCCCCUGCCUGCUCUUCAACCUCAGAUCCGUGUCUUCCAUUUAAUAUAUAGAUUCAGAUCUUAUUUCUAUGCAGUUUUUUCUUAAAUUACAAUUUUAAAUAUAGUUUUGUUUUAAUGUUUUCAUUCUUUUUUAAAUAAGUUUAUUUAUUGAAAGAGAAUGAUAGAGGGGAAAGAGAGAGAGAGAGAGAGAGAGAUGUCAUCCAUAUACUGUCUCAUUCCCCCAGAUGCCUGCGCAGCCAGGGCUGGGCAGGCUGAAGCUAGGAUCCAGGAAUUCCAUUGGGAUCUCUCAUGUGUGUGAUAGACCCAAAUACUUACGCCAUCUCAGAGUGUGCAUCUGUAGGCACCUGGAUGGGAAGCAUAGGUGGACCCAGUACCGAGCACUGCAGUAUGGGAUGUGGGCAUCCCGAGUGGCAGCUUAACCUGCUGCGCCACAGUGCCUGCCCUGUGUUUAUUCUUUAUACACUCUAAUUAUCCAUGCUGGAUCUCCUUUGCUGGUGGGAGAAUAUGGACAACUCUGAAUCAAUUUUAUUUCCUAAUUUUUAAUUACUUUUUAUUUGAAAGACAAAGAAAGAGAAAGAUCUUGCAUCCACAGGUUUGCUCCCCAACUGCCCAUAUCAGCUGUGGCUGGGCCAAGCCAAAGUCAAGAGCCAAUCCAAGUCUUCCAUGUGGGUGUCAGAGAGCCAAGCACUUGAACUAUCACAUGGAGCCUCCCAGAGUGCACAUCACUAGGAAUGUUGGAAUUGGAAGGGGAGAGAGAACUCGAACCCAGGCACUCCGAUAUGUGAUAUGGACAUCUUAACUGUUGCUCCAAACAUCCCCCUCUCCAAAUCACUUUAAAAUAAUUGGCCAUCAUUUCAGCUCAUAGUGUAUCUUAAAUGCCUGGUAUGCCAGAAUAUUCCCCAGCCAAUGAUACAAAAAAAAAAAAAAGGAAUCAAUAUUUCAAUAUUUCCUUUUGCUUCAUAUGAGCUGAUAAUCUAUACAUAGGAGGCAGCUAACAGAAAAUAUCUUGAUGGGGGCUGGCGCUGUGGCAUAGUGGGUAAAGCCACCACCUUUAGUGCCGGCAUCCCAUAUGGGCACAAGUUUGAGUCCUGGCUGCUCCACUUCCGAUCCAGGUCUCUGCUAUGGUCUGGGAAAACAGUAGAAAAUGGCCCAAGUCCUGGGGCCCCUGCACCUGCAUGGGAGACCAGGGAGAGACUCUUGGCUCCUGGCUUCAGAUUGGUCCAGCUACUGCCAUUGGAGUGAACCACCAGAUGGAAGAUCUCUCCUUCUCUCUGUAACUCUGCCUUUCAAAUAGAUAAAUAAACCUUUUUUAAAAAAAUGGUUUAGGCCGGCGCCGCGGCUCACUUGGCUAAUCCUCUGCCUGCGGCGCCAGCACCCCAGGUUCUAGUCCUGGUUGGGGUGCCAGUUCUGUCCCGGUUGUUCCUCUUCCACUCCAGAUCUCUGCUGUGGCCCGGGAAGGCAGUGGAGGAUGGCCCAAGUGCUUGGGCCCCUGCACCCGCAUGGGAGACCAGGAGGAAGCACCUGGCUCCUGGCUUCGGAUCGGUGCAGCGCACCAGCUGUAGUGCCUCUGGUGGGGUGAACCAACGGAAGGAAGACCUUUCUCUCUGUCUCUCUCUCUCUCUCACUGCCUAACUCUGCCUGUCAAAAAAAAAUGUUUUAAAAAAGAAAAUAUCUUGAUGAAAAGGAGGAGUGUUGAUAUAUGAUUAACUACUAAAAUAAGGAUAAAUGUAUUUGAUGAUAUAGGAUUGAAUUAUGUAACUGAAGACAAAAAAGGCUACUUGUAAAAUCCUGGCUUAUCAGGCUCCAAGGCAGAAAUCUUAUCUUCUCCAUUCAUUUAUAUGCUCACAUUGAUUUUUUUUUUUUUUUUUUUUUUGACAGGCAGAGUGGACAGUGAGAGAGAGAGACAGAGAGAGAAAGGUCUUCCUUUGCUGUUGGUUCACCCUCCAAUGGCCACCGCGGCCGGCGCACCGCGCUGAUCCGAUGGCAGGAGCCAGGAGCCAGGUGCUUUUCCUGGUCUCCCAUGGGGUGCAGGGCCCAAGCACCUGGGCCAUCCUCCACUGCACUCCCUGGCCACAGCAGAGAGCUGGCCUGGAAGAGGGGCAACCGGGACAGAAUCCGGCGCCCCAACCGGGACUAGAACCCCGUGUGCCGGCGCCGCUAGGCGGAGGAUUAGCCUAGUGAGCCGCGGCGCCGGCUCACAUUGAUUUUUGUUUCAACACUCACUGAUAUUAUGUUUGUACUGCACUAACUCAAAUUAUUUCUUUAAAAAUAAUGUAUGAAGGGGCCGGCACUGUGGCACAGCAGGUAAAGCUGCCUCCUGCAGUGCCAGCAUCCCAUAUGGGUGCCAGGUUCGAGUCCUGGCUGCUCUACUUCCUAUCCAGCUCUCUGCUAUGGCCUGGGAAAGCAGUGGAAGGUGUCCCAAGUCCUUGGGCCCCUGUGCCCACGUAGGAGACCCAGAGGAAGCUCCUGGCUCCUGGCUUCCAAUUGGUGAAGCGCUGGCUGUUGCAGUCAUCUGGGAAGUGAACCAGUGGAUGGAAGACCUCUCUCUGCCUCUCCUUUUCUCUCUGUGUAACUCUGACUUUCAUAUAAAUAAAUAAUCUUAAAAAAAGGCCGGCGCCGCGGCUCACUAGGCUAAUCCUCCGCCUAGCGGCGCCGGCACACCGGGUUCUAGUCCCGGUCGGGGCGCCGGAUUCUGUCCCGGUUGCCCCUCUUCCAGGCCAGCCCUCUGCUGUGGCCCGGGAGUGCAGUGGAGGAUGGCCCAGGUGCUUGGGCCCUGCACCCCAUGGGAGACCAGGAAAAGCACCUGGCUCCUGGCUCCUGCCAUCGGAUCAGCGCGGUGCGCCGGCCGCAGCGCGCCGGCCGCGGCGGCCAUUGGAGGGUGAACCAACGGCAAAGGAAGACCUUUCUCUCUGUCUCUCUCUCUCACUGUCCACUCUGCCUGUCAAAAAAAAAUAAAAAUAAAAAAAAAAUAAUAUGUGGAUAUCCUGAUAUAAUUGUAGUUAUAGUAUGGCUCUAUUGGAGACAUAUACAUAGUUGUGUAUAUGGAUGAAAAGAUCUCGAAGAAUAUAUCUCAAAAAGCUGGUAGUGAGUGGUGAUAUUAUCAGUGUUCAUUUUUUCUUUCCACUUCUCAGCAUAAAGCCUUAUUGGGUUGGUUUCCUUUCUGGUCUCCCUUUAGCUGUGACAAUUCUCAGUGACUACUGUCUUCGAAGCCCAUUGUCCCAUUCUUUUUUAUUAAUAGGCUCUUUAAUUUUUAGCUGAGUGCAGAGAUGAUCAGAAUAAAGAUUACAUUUUCCAGCCUCCCUUGAAACUAGCUAUAGCCAUUUGUCUACCUCCUGGUUGAUAGGUUGUAAUUAGACAUGUCAUGUAUGAUUUGGGGGAAGUGUACUUGAGUGGAAGACGUACACUCUCUUUCUUUUCUGCUUACUGGGAAUCAGACAUAAUGGCUACAACUUGAUCAACCCUUUUGUGACUAUGAGAAUAAAGAUCACACCCCAGGGAUGGCAAACUGGAGCCCUAAAAGAAGCGUGGAUCCAGGGGUCAGCGCUGUGGCGAGCAGGCAAAGCUGCCGCCUGCGGCACUGGCAUCCCAUAGAGGCAGCAGUUUGAGUCUUGGCUGCUUCACUUCUGAUCCAACUCCGUGCUAAUGUGCCUGGAAAGUAGUAGAAGAUGGCCCAAGUGCUUAGGUCCCUGCACCCAUGUUGGAGACCUGUAGGAAGCUCCUGGCUCCCGGCUUCGUAUCAGCCCAGCCCUGAGUCAUUGCAGCCAUUUGGGGAGUGAACCAGCAGAUGAAAGACCCCUCUCUCUCUUUCCCUCUUGUAACUCUGUCUUUCAAGUAAAUAAAUAAUUCUUUAAAAGAAUAUAAAAACCCAGCUUCCAAAUAAGUAUAGAAAAGGAGAAGAAAUGUAUAACAUGAUAUAUAUUUUUAAAAGCAGCAUAGAUCCAUGCCAACUUUGUGACCCUUGAUAUGUUAUCCCUGAGCUUCUUGUCUCUGGACGGUUUACAUGAGAACAAUGUGUAUGUCUAAGGCAAAGUGAAUUUGAAUUUUAUGUAAUAGCCAAAUCAAAUCCUAGCUAAAUGGAAUUAGUAUAUGCAGCUGGUCCACAAAAUCUGUGGGUUCUGUGUCUGAGGUUUCAAUUAACCAUGGGUUGAAAAUAUAUUUUUAAUUAUCUCUAUACUAGGGGGUCGGCACUGUGGCACAGCGGGUGAAAGCCCCAGUCUGCAGCGCUGGCAUCCCAUAUGGAUGCCGGUUCAUGUCCUGGCUGCUCCUCUUCUGAUCCAGCUCUCUGCUAUGGCCUGGGAAAACAGUGGGAGAUGGCCCAUGUCCUUGGGCCCCUGCACCCGCAUGGGAGACCCAGAAGAAGCUUCUGGCUCCUGGCUUCAGAUCAGCUCAGCUCUGACUGUUGCGGUCAUUUGGGGAGUGAACCAGUGGAAUGGAAGACCUCUCUCUCUGGCUCUACUACUCCCUGUAACUCCUCUGUCUUUCAAAAUGAAUAAAAUAAUUCUGAAAAAAUUA